AUUUCCUGCAUGGUCUUAUUCAUUCCACCUCCGGGAGAUGAUAAUUCGAAGGGCCACAGGAAGUUAUUUGCCUCUCUGAAGCAUUUUCCAACAGCAUAGAUCUUACGAAUCAGAUCCUCCGUGCAGAUGAUGCCAUAUUUACCAAGAGCUCGAGCAGUCAGUGAAUUAUCGUCAAGGCAGUUCACUUCUGGUUGAUUUUGUUAUAGCCGGCUUGUAUGUGAGUUCAUUUACUGACUUCACCUUUGGGCAUCCGCAUGCCAUAUAUGAUCCCACAAUCCUCAGCGUGUUAAAUGAAGCCUUGUGGAGCUUAACAAAGGUACCAUUGGGCAUUUGGCAAAGACAAAGAAAAAGCUGCCGAACCUUGUGGACUUUGGGGCUCACACCAUCGAUAUCCCUGAUCCGGAUGACAGAUGCCAAUUUGGGUUCUGCAGCCACAAUUGGUGAUAUGAUGCUUGCACAUCUCAGCUGUUUGGGAGGCUGAGACAGGAGGAUCAUGCCCAGCUUGAGGCCAGCCUGAGCAACAUGACAAG
This 530-nucleotide long non-coding RNA is filed under the name Cavia porcellus (domestic guinea pig). RNAcentral's name for it is "lncRNA (ENSCPOG00000040657.1)". The record is from RNAcentral. Lineage: Eukaryota; Metazoa; Chordata; Mammalia; Rodentia; Caviidae.